RNAcentral lists this ribosomal RNA (462 nucleotides) under uncultured bacterium. RNAcentral's name for it is "partial 16S ribosomal RNA". It matches the Rfam family "Bacterial small subunit ribosomal RNA", at positions 28 to 507 of the family's 1533-position model. The record is from RNAcentral.
GACGAACGCUGGCGGCGUGGUUAACACAUGCAAGUCGAGCGGAAAGGCCCUUCGGGGUACUCGAGCGGCGAACGGGUGAGUAACACGUGAGUAACCUGCCCCAGACUUUGGGAUAACCCUCGGAAACGGGGGCUAAUACCGGAUACGACACAGCUUCGCAUGGGGUCUGUGUGGAAAGUUUUUCGGUUUGGGAUGGGCUCGCGGCCUAUCAGCUUGUUGGUGGGGUGAUGGCCUACCAAGGCGACGACGGGUAGCCGGCCUGAGAAGGCGACCGGCCACACUGGGACUGAGAAACGGCCCAGACUCCUACGGGAGGCAGCAGUGGGGAAUAUUGCACAAUGGGCGGAAGCCUGAUGCAGCGACGCCGCGUGAGGGAUGACGGCCUUCGGGUUGUAAACCUCUUUCAGCAGGGACGAAGCGUAAGUGACGGUACCUGCAGAAGAAGCGCCGGCAAACUACGUG